GGUCAUUUCAGUUUAUUUUAUCAUGAAUUCUUUUGCAACAAACGGUCAAGCACACGAUUUAUCAAAGUACAGUUUUUCAUUCAAGGACCUUGACCGUACAACACAUCGUGGAGACAAAUGUUGAGUAGAGGAAGGUCAAAAUCCAUGUCAGCCACUCCUGUGAGAAUCUCAUGUAAAAAGCAAUCAUGCACGUGUUACAUUGGAAGAAAGAAACGUUUUCAGUAGGGGACUUUUCUUUUAAAAAAUCAUUUUACUGCAAACCCAAUGCAGCUCAAUCACCUCAUCUGUACAAACAUCAGUGACAGAGCCCAAACGCUUGAGACUGUAAAGAUCACGUUGGCAGUAGAAGCUUCAUUCAAAAGCUCAGCUUGCCUCAAAAUGAAGAGUUGAGGUUCUUAAGACAUCAAGGUGUUCGUUUUUUCGUAGAAAAAUGGCUGUGUUUUUCAUGUCUGGAAUGCUCUAAGAGGAGAUUUUAGUGUGCGUGAGACUCAUAACGUGCAGGAGAAAAAACAUCUCAAAUCAUCUAAAGUAAUUGCUCCACUACCACUAAACGAGCCGAGGAAGACGUGCAGUUACUGCUGAACAUGAAUACUGAGUGUGACAUACAAAAGACGGACAACAGAAGGCAGACACGUCUUAGAAACGGUGAUCUAAAAAUACAGUUUGGCAAUAGAUCACCAGGGGGAGUGUAGAAAAAUGCCCACUCAUGAGAUCCUCAGAUAGUGUCGAUUGAUCACGAUGCUGUAAAAACGUAAGAAAUAUUAGCCGUCAAGUUUAUUUUCAUCCGCUGGCGGAGUAGUAGAUUCAUAAAACGUUAUAAAUGCACUCAUUUUGGUUCAUCUGAUAAGCAAACAAUGUGCUAAAAGGGCUUCAGAAAGGUGAAAAAGCAAACGAUAACAAACUAGAAAAGUUUCUAGAAGGAAGAAGCACAGGUUGUGCUGCAUAGAAACUACCAAAGUCAAUGAUUGCAAAGCCUGUGAGGGACGUUUGCAGGUUUAAGUCCCUCUACGUCUCUAAAUUCAGAGCACUUUAAACAGUGGUCAAUACACAUAAAACAACAUUGAAAUGGAGACUCGACGCUUGUUUCUUCACUUUUCGCUUUUCUUCAGAAAAAUAUGGGAAGCCCUCAAUCAUUUCCGGAAAUAGAUGUUCUUAACCAGCCAUUUGAUUCACCCUCGCAAAUAUACAUUUGUACAUUUUUGGUAUGUAUAUCUUCUGAAAAGGAAUAUAUUUAAAUAUCCAGAAUAUUUACAGACUGAUGAAACUAUCUUACGCCUGUCUACAGACAGUAAUAUCCUCAUCUAACACUCGCAGAAAGAGUCUUGAUGCUAGAAUGUGUCUCUGCUGUACAAACAGAAAAAUCAACAAACAUAAAUGGGUGACAUGCAUGUCAUAUUUCAAAGAAAUGUGGAAAAAAAAAAUGUCAUUUUAUAUUUUAAUAUUUUCUAAAUUGAAUUAUUAAU
Molecule: long non-coding RNA, 1463 nt
Organism: Cyprinus carpio carpio
Lineage: Eukaryota; Metazoa; Chordata; Actinopteri; Cypriniformes; Cyprinidae
Source: Ensembl